Molecule: ribosomal RNA, 293 nt
Filed under: Convolvulus environmental sample
Lineage: Eukaryota; Viridiplantae; Streptophyta; Magnoliopsida; Solanales; Convolvulaceae
Description: partial 18S ribosomal RNA
Rfam family: 5.8S ribosomal RNA (bases 245-293)
Source: RNAcentral
UCCGUAGGUGAACCUGCGGAAGGAUCAUUGUCGAAACCUGCUCAGCAGAACGACCCGCGAACAAGUUUAUAUUUCACUAUUCUCAAACGGGUUGUGUGCCUUCCUUUUGGAAGGUGCUCGUCCCGGGCGAACAACAAACCCCCGGCGCGGAAUGCGUCAAGGAAUACCAUAACGAGAUUGCUUGUUGCCCGCGCUCCGUUUGCGGAAUGCGUGGGCGACGUAGGCGUCUUACUUAACAAAAAAUGACUCUCGGCAACGGAUAUCUCGGCUCUCGCAUCGAUGAAGAACGCAGC